UUUUGACAUCCCUUAAUAGAAAUUCUGAUUUCGCCACUGAUACCGAUCAAAGACAUCACCUCAAAAGAAUAGCAAGUAGAAUUGGAAUUAGGAAUAUAUUACUAGAAAACGUCAUCUCAGGAAAGCUUCUGCAUUAUCUUAUCAAAAGUUGUCUAUUUGCAUUUGUUGCAAGGCAUAUCACUGUGUUUAAUUAAUUAUUUUCACUUUAGCAUACAUGUCUUCAGAAAAUUAUAGAAUAACAACGGUAUUAGCUUACGACAAAAACUCAAAAAGGUAAAUGGAACAACAACAAAUAAUAUUAAGUAGAUGAAAAGGGAAGUUCCAUGUAUACUACCUACUCCCUAAACUAAUAAUGGACACAAAAAAGAAAAAUGGAGUUUCAUUAUGAAUCCUCAACUCACAUAAACAAACAAACAAACAGAAAGGGAAGCCAAUAUUGAAAUAAAAAAAUGUUAGAUUGCUUAAAAUAUAUAGUAUUAUACACUGUGAAAGUGGAAUUAUUAAGUUUCCUUUUCCACAUUUAUGGCCAAUAUUGAACCUUUCAUUAACUUCAGAAGCCAAUAAGUGAAGUUUCUGAUCUUUGAAAGAGACAAUUUACAUGCCAUGAGCCAGAAUUACUGGAAAAGUUAGAUUGCUUGGUGUAAUAAUUAAUCCACAAUGCAUUAUGAUAUCUUUUUAGUGCUCAAUACAUCAAAGGGUGUGAUGGCUUAGUAAAAAUUCCUCCACCCUUAACAAGAGGUUUCAGUUUGAGCGCUAAGAAUGAAAACCUUGCC
Molecule: long non-coding RNA, 773 nt
Filed under: Solanum tuberosum (potato)
Lineage: Eukaryota; Viridiplantae; Streptophyta; Magnoliopsida; Solanales; Solanaceae
Description: long non-coding RNA (STUB_LNC006455)
Source: RNAcentral